This 414-nucleotide long non-coding RNA is filed under the name Elaeis guineensis (African oil palm). RNAcentral describes it as "long non-coding RNA (EGUI_LNC051840)". Lineage: Eukaryota; Viridiplantae; Streptophyta; Magnoliopsida; Arecales; Arecaceae. The record is from RNAcentral.
CACUAAGCUUCUGCUACAAGCUAUCUACACCGAGCUUCUGCUACAAGUGAUCUACAUCGAGCUUCUGCUACAAGCGGUCUACUUCAAAUUUCUACUACGAGCGGUCCGCAUCGGAUUUCUACUGUAAGCCUCCACCCGAGCUUCCCUUGUGAACGAAUUUCUUUCGGACUUCUAUUGCAGGCAGGCUUCGGUCGAGCUUCCUCAACAAAUGAUCUCCAUCCGAACUUCUACGGGAACCAGAAAGCUCGCCAGCAACAUCCAAGCUCUUCUCAGACGGAGAGCUACCCCUCUCCACCAGACACCCCAACCGAGCUUCGGCUGACAGGCCUGGACUCCCUGGCAGGCCACAGUAAUGGCCACGACUCUGCUCCACUUCCUAUAACGGAUCCCACACGGCUCCAUCAUGCUCUGGCA